CAUCUGAGUGAUUUGACUCUCCUGCCUGGACCCAGUGUACAGAUGGGAUUGUGCUUUAUUGCUGGACCCAGCAUUUAGGCCCACUACCUCUGGGAUUGCAUGCUCCUGCCUGGGCUGUGCCCACAGUGACCUUGUGACAUAUAUGUGCAUCCAUGACCUAAAAGAUGUGACACUUCUUGCCUGCAACCUGCCCUGCACAGGAAAGAUUGUGACUUCUCCCUGGAACCAGAUACCAGGGAACGUCACUCCUGUGGAUGAUCAAAGCUACUCAGGGGGCUGAGGCAGGAGAAUCGCUUGAACUCGGGAAGCAGACGUUGCAGUGAGCCAAGGUCGCACCACUGCACUCCAGCCCAGGCAACAGUGUGAGACUCCACAUCAAAAAGAAAAAGAAAAAAAGUGUACUAACAAGACCCAGCACACAGAGGAGACUUUUACCAUUAUAUGAACACCCAUCAAACAGUACACAUCAUCAUUGUGAGUUCUGAAUCUCACACAUAGAGGAAGUCAAAGGUGGAAAAAUUGACUCUCAUAGUUGGAUCCAGUCCACAGCUUCUGCUAGCAAGGAAGACUGAGACAUAUUGUGGGGCUCUACGCCAAUGUGACAUUACUGUUUUGCCUUGGCCUGUACCUGAAAAGGCAUUGUGACAUAUUGCUGGGCCCAGCAACAAGGUGACAUGAGUCUUCCGUAUGGACCCUGACAACAGAGCAUUGUGACAUAUCUUUAAGAGCAUCAACUAUUUGAUGUGACUCUCCCUUUCUACCAAGGCUUUCCUCAUAUGAGAGAUUGUGACACAUCUUCUGGCACAGAAAUCAAGUGAUGUGUUUCUCCUGCCUGAGCUUUGCUCAUAGGGAGCAUUGUGACAUAUUGCUGGUCUCAGCACCCAGGUGUGAUUUUGACACACACUUCUGCCUAGCACCUGAGUAAUGUGAUUCUUCAGAAUUGGCCCAGCCUAUAGAUAGGAUUGUGCCACACUGCUGGACCCAGCACCUAAGUGAUGUAACUCUAUUCUUCUGCCUUGGUGCUACUCGAAAAAGACAUUGUAACAUAUCUCAGAGCCUUGCACCCAAGUAAUGUGAGUCUCCUCUUCUGCCUUUCUGCUGCACACAGAAGCAAGAUAUGUACAGGAUUGUUAAUCUCAUCUUGGACCUUCCUGCACAUGUGAUUGUGACACAUGCCUCUGUGUAGAACCUGAGUGAGUUUACUCUCCUGCCUGGAUUUAACCCAUAGAUGGAAUUGUGACAUAUCGCUGUACCAGAAACUAGGUGAUGUGACUCUAUUUUCUUGCCUCUGUGUUUUUAUAUGGGGCAUCGUGACAUAUCACUGGGCCUUGCACCCAAGUGAUGGGAGUUUUCUCUCCUGCUUUGGUGCUGUCCACAAUGAAAAUUGUGAAAUAUUGCUGCCCUCCCCGCUAGGUUAUGUUACUCUCCUGCCUCUGCUUUGCCCACAUGGGUCACUGUAACAUAUUGCUGGGUCUAAAACCCAGGUAAUGUCACUCUCUUGUUUGGGUUCUGCCUGCAGGAGUCAUUGUCACAUAUCUCUGUGCUCAUCACCCAGGUAAUAUGACUCCCUUUUACUGCUUAGUUCCUUCUCACAAAACAACUUGUGACAUAUUGCUAGGCCCAAUACACCUAGCUGGUGUAAUUCUUCUUUUUCUUUUUUUUUUUUUUUUUUUGAGAUGGAGUCUCACUCUGUUGUCCAGGCUGGAGUGCAGUGGCAUGAUUUCAGCUCACUACAGCCUCUGCCUCCUAGGUUGAAGCGAUUGUCCUGCCUUAGCCUCCCAAGUAGCUGGGAUUAAAGGCAUGUGCCACCACGCCCGGCUAAUUUUUGUAUUUAUAGUAGAGACAGGGUUUCGCCAUGUUGGCUAGGCUGGAUUCGAACUUCUAACCUCAGGUGAUCCUCCCACCUCGGCCUCCCAAAGUACUGGGAUUACAGGCAUGAGCCACUGCACUUGGCCUGACUCUUCUCUUCUUUCUAGGUUUCAACUGCAGCAAAGAUUGUAAAAAACCACUGGGCCCAGCCGCAUAAUGACGUUACUCUUUUGCCUUGGGCCUGCCCUCAGAAGGCACUGUCACAUAUUCAUGGGCCCAACGCCAAGGUGAUAUGUGUCUCCAGCCUGGACCCUGCCCACAGGGGCCAUUGUGACAUAUCUCUUGGCCCAUCAGAUGUUUGAUGUUAUCCCCUCCCCUCUUCUACCCUGUGUUUGCCUAUAAGAGACAGAGUCACAUGUUCCUGGGCCCAGCACCUAAGUGAUGUCUUCCUGGAAUGUGUCCACAUGGGGAUUGUGAUAUGUCACGUGGCGCAGUACUUAACUUGAUGUGACUCUCCUCUCAUGCCUAGGCCUUGUAGAGAAUCCCCUUCCCCUUUUGUUUUCCUUUCUUUCUUUGCAGAUCCAGGAGAUAAUCAACUAAGAGCCAGGUACCCGUUUAGGUCUAAUAAGAAACAUUUUACAACCUGC
This 2456-nucleotide long non-coding RNA is filed under the name Pongo abelii (Sumatran orangutan). Its description in RNAcentral is "lincRNA". The record is from RNAcentral. Lineage: Eukaryota; Metazoa; Chordata; Mammalia; Primates; Hominidae.